This 1324-nucleotide ribosomal RNA is filed under the name Microbacterium sp. Da-23. RNAcentral's name for it is "bacterial SSU rRNA". It matches the Rfam family "Bacterial small subunit ribosomal RNA", at positions 61 to 1393 of the family's 1533-position model. Lineage: Bacteria; Bacillati; Actinomycetota; Actinomycetes; Micrococcales; Microbacteriaceae. The record is from RNAcentral.
GUCGAACGAUGAACCCGAAGCUUGCUUUGGGGGAUUAGUGGCGAACGGGUGAGUAACACGUGAGCAACCAGCCCCUCACUCUGGGAUAAGCGCUGGAAACGGCGUCUAAUACUGGAUACGAGACGCGACCGCAUGGUCAGUGUCUGGAAAGAUUUUUUGGUGGGGGAUGGGCUCGCGGCCUAUCAGCUUGUUGGUGAGGUAAUGGCUCACCAAGGCGUCGACGGGUAGCCGGCCUGAGAGGGUGACCGGCCACACUGGGACUGAGACACGGCCCAGACUCCUACGGGAGGCAGCAGUGGGGAAUAUUGCACAAUGGGCGGAAGCCUGAUGCAGCAACGCCGCGUGAGGGAUGACGGCCUUCGGGUUGUAAACCUCUUUUAGCAGGGAAGAAGCGAAAGUGACGGUACCUGCAGAAAAAGCACCGGCUAACUACGUGCCAGCAGCCGCGGUAAUACGUAGGGUGCAAGCGUUAUCCGGAAUUAUUGGGCGUAAAGAGCUCGUAGGCGGUUUGUCGCGUCUGCUGUGAAAUCCCGAGGCUCAACCUCGGGCCUGCAGUGGGUACGGGCAGACUAGAGUGCGGUAGGGGAGAUUGGAAUUCCUGGUGUAGCGGUGGAAUGCGCAGAUAUCAGGAGGAACACCGAUGGCGAAGGCAGAUCUCUGGGCCGUAACUGACGCUGAGGAGCGAAAGGGUGGGGAGCAAACAGGCUUAGAUACCCUGGUAGUCCACCCCGUAAACGUUGGGAACUAGUUGUGGGGUCCUUUCCACGGAUUCCGUGACGCAGCUAACGCAUUAAGUUCCCCGCCUGGGGAGUACGGCCGCAAGGCUAAAACUCAAAGGAAUUGACGGGGACCCGCACAAGCGGCGGAGCAUGCGGAUUAAUUCGGUGCAACGCGAAGAACCUUACCAAGGCUUGACAUACACGAGAACGGGCCAGAAAUGGUCAACUCUUUGGACACUCGUGAACAGGUGGUGCAUGGUUGUCGUCAGCUCGUGUCGUGAGAUGUUGGGUUAAGUCCCGCAACGAGCGCAACCCUCGUUCUAUGUUGCCAGCACGUAAUGGUGGGAACUCAUGGGAUACUGCCGGGGUCAACUCGGAGGAAGGUGGGGAUGACGUCAAAUCAUCAUGCCCCUUAUGUCUUGGGCUUCACGCAUGCUACAAUGGCCGGUACAAAGGGCUGCAAUACCGUGAGGUGGAGCGAAUCCCAAAAAGCCGGUCCCAGUUCGGAUUGAGGUCUGCAACUCGACCUCAUGAAGUCGGAGUCGCUAGUAAUCGCAGAUCAGCAACGCUGCGGUGAAUACGUUCCCGGGUCUUGUACACACCGA